CCAACGUGGGCAUCCAGCGAGGUUGCUCUCGUCUGGCUCUGUCCGUGUGGCGCAUGGGAGCGUAGGCCUUUGGAUCUAUGACGUAUAGUCCCGUUCCAUAACGUUGGAGAGCAUGUAUGUCCCCAGCCUUUGGGCUGGUGAGGACAGUAUCCUGUAUAUUCCUAGACCUUCUCAGUGUGUGUGAAGUGACUGAGGAGAUAAACCAUGCAGGGUACAGUU
Small nucleolar RNA from Chiloscyllium plagiosum (whitespotted bambooshark), 219 nucleotides. RefSeq annotates it as small nucleolar RNA SNORA73 family. Lineage: Eukaryota; Metazoa; Chordata; Chondrichthyes; Orectolobiformes; Hemiscylliidae. The record is from RefSeq and is a predicted model, not a curated record.